UUGGGAGGGCAAGUCUGGUGCCAGCAGCCGCGGUAAUUCCAGCUCCAAUAGCGUAUAUUAACAGUUGUUGCAGUUAAAAAGCUCGUAGUUGAAUUUCGGGAUUGACACAUCGGUCGUGCCUUAAGGGGUAUGAACUGGUGUAGUCAAUUUCUCACCUUCUGGAGAACCACGAUGCCCUUAAUUGGGUGUCGCGGGGAACCAGGACCUUUACUUUGAAAAAAUUAGAGUGUUUAAAGCAGGCAUUUUGCUUGAAUACAUUAGCAUGGAAUAAUAAAAUAGGACGGCAUGAUUCUAUUUUGUUGGUUUCUAGGAUCACCGUAAUGAUUAAUAGGGAUAGUUGGGGACAUUAGUAUUCAACUGUCAGAGGUGAAAUUCUUGGAUUUAUUGAAGACUAACUACUGCGAAAGCAUUUGCCAAGGAUGUUUUCAUUAAUCAAGGACGAAAGUUAGGGGAUCGAAGACGAUCAGAUACCGUCGUAGUCUUAACCAUAAACUAUGCCGACUAGGAAUCAGACGAUGUUAAUUUUUUAAUGACUCGUUUGGCACCUUACGGGAAACCAAAGUGUUUGGGU
This 571-nucleotide ribosomal RNA is filed under the name Entrophospora lamellosa. Its description in RNAcentral is "SSU rRNA". It matches the Rfam family "Eukaryotic small subunit ribosomal RNA", at positions 547 to 1112 of the family's 1831-position model. Lineage: Eukaryota; Fungi; Glomeromycota; Glomeromycetes; Entrophosporales; Entrophosporaceae. The record is from RNAcentral.